Molecule: ribosomal RNA, 253 nt
Filed under: uncultured bacterium
Lineage: Bacteria
Description: partial 16S ribosomal RNA
Rfam family: Bacterial small subunit ribosomal RNA
Source: RNAcentral
UACGUAGGGGGCAAGCGUUAUCCGGAUUUACUGGGUGUAAAGGGAGCGUAGACGGUAAUGUAAGUCUGAUGUGAAAGCCCGGGGCUCAACCCCGGGACUGCAUUGGAAACUAUGUAACUAGAGUACCGGAGAGGUAAGCGGAAUUCCUAGUGUAGCGGUGAAAUGCGUAGAUAUAUGGAGGAACACCGGUGGCGAAAGCGGCUCUCUGGCCUGUAACUGACACUGAGGCUCGAAAGCGUGGGGAGCAAACAGG